GGGGAAUAUUGCACAAUGGGGGAAACCCUGAUGCAGCAACGCCGCGUGAGUGAUGACGGUCUUCGGAUUGUAAAGCUCUGUCUUCAGGGACGAUAAUGACGGUACCUGAGGAGGAAGCCACGGCUAACUACGUGCCAGCAGCCGCGGUAAUACGUAGGUGGCAAGCGUUGUCCGGAUUUACUGGGCGUAAAGGGAGCGUAGGUGGAUAUUUAAGUGGGAUGUGAAAUACUCGGGCUUAACCUGGGUGCUGCAUUCCAAACUGGAUAUCUAGAGUGCAGGAGAGGAAAGUAGAAUUCCUAGUGUAGCGGUGAAAUGCGUAGAGAUUAGGAAGAAUACCAGUGGCGAAGGCGACUUUCUGGACUGUAACUGACACUGAGGCUCGAAAGCGUGGGGAGCAAACAGGA
RNAcentral lists this ribosomal RNA (404 nucleotides) under uncultured bacterium. RNAcentral's name for it is "bacterial SSU rRNA". It matches the Rfam family "Bacterial small subunit ribosomal RNA", at positions 356 to 777 of the family's 1533-position model. The record is from RNAcentral.